RNAcentral lists this long non-coding RNA (1804 nucleotides) under Schizosaccharomyces pombe (fission yeast). The record is from RNAcentral. Lineage: Eukaryota; Fungi; Ascomycota; Schizosaccharomycetes; Schizosaccharomycetales; Schizosaccharomycetaceae.
AAGUUCAAAUUUUGAAGCAGCCUUCGUCAAUUGCUGAAAUUUAUAACGACACUGUAAACGAGUCCUAGUACCUAACAUUUGGGCAACAAGCGUCCAAUUAAUGUCAGAACUUAAGUCUUCACGGUUACGGAGUUCAGCAACUAUUUGCAAUAACUGAGUUUCCUCUUCCAACGACCAAGCAUUUCGUUUCAAUUUAUCGCCAAAACGUACUACGUCGCGCCAACGAUCACGACAAUCAUUAGGCAUUCGAGCCAUUUUACGACCAAUUUUCGUCCAGCAUUUACCAUGUUCAACAACAUUUCUAAACGUUAAUGAUUUUUGAAUAAAAAUAUAAACACAUACUUUCUUAAUUCUUCAUCUUCUUCUUUGCUCCACACACAGCGAUCUUCAAACGGGUUAUAUGCACGUCGUACAUGGUGAUAAAUACUCUUGGCAUCACGAUGGGAAAGCUUUUUAUAUAAAUUAGAGUAAAACAUUCUGAUUGUUUUUGGACAUUUUCCUGCCCAAAUUUGAUUGCAAAAUUGAUACUCGGACCAUCCUUGAUCCAUAAUAAAAUUAUGUACUUCUUGGGAAAUAAUGGCAGUUUCCUGGACCCCGAAAUCCCCUCUUCCAGAAGAAUUUUUUCUACUAUAUUUCUCAUAACCUGGGAUGUUGUAAAGGGCCCGGAGGUGCCGUAAUAUUGUUCUUCUGGUAAAACUAGGCAUUUCUUGAACCAAUAAUUUAACUAAAGAAGAGAGUGGCCCGUGAAGUCUUUUUUCGUGUAGAGAAUCGGCUACCUGUGUAUGGUCUAAUGAAUAGGUUUGACAGAAGUUUUGCAUUCGUCGUUCUAAAUAGUCCCAAUGUUCCGCAGUCCAUCUAGCACUACCUUUCAAAAAUGGAUCCAUAUUGGUAAUUUCCGAAGGGCUUAUUAAAAUAGAAUCAUUUGUUUGAUUCGAAGUAGAGUUUCUCAUGGCAUUCACACCUUUGUUAACUUUUGACAAGAAGGCGCUCGAAUCCACAUUAUCAUUUCCUAAAGCUAUAGAAGAGGAGGCUAAAGCAUCCAAAUGAAUGGAUGUAUUUUGUUCAGAAAGGUUGGAGUCUUGGGCUUGAAGAGACAUUAAGGCCUCGAAAUUGCGAUCAUUUUUACCAUCUUCUUUAAUGCUUAACGCGGGAGAAAACUUAGGCUCUAUUGAUCCAGAAUAGUCAUUGUUAUUUGUUUUCAAUCCUUUGUUAAGUGGAAAAUCAUCAAAAUCAUUCUUUCGUUUCCUUGAUGAUUGCAAAGAAUCCACGCCAAUAAAUCCAUGAAUCUGAAGUUCCGGAUUUAAUACGGAGGUAUCCAUAAAGAUUAUAUUUUUGAAGUACUAUAAUUGAGUAAUCACUUCAACUUAUCAAUCGCUAAUAUCGUACAAAACGCUUCGUGAGCUUUAAUUCGCAGUUUGCUAGCACAGCGAUUUAGGAAGGGUGGGACACAAACUGAGGAGUGUAAAUCUGAAAUAAAGAUGGUUUGUUAUUAAGGGAUAUAUCGACACGCUGCAUUUCCUUAUAGGCAAUGCUAAGUAGUACAACGAAAACAUUAAUGAUAUACAAAAAAUGUUGUUUUUGCUUACCACUUAGUACAAAAAAACUCAUAUUUAUUAUCGUCCUAAAAUAUGAAAUUGUACUAUUAAUCAAAUAAACAAGAAAUGCAGAAAUAUACCAAUAGUAUUUAAUUGGAAAAAUUAGUAGCAUACGAAGAUUUGUCUUUAAAAAUGAAUAUCCCAAAAGAAAUACAGAAAUAGUUAGGAAUAAAUCAAUUGAAAUGAGAAUGAGGAGAAAAUUUUUUUUG